This 843-nucleotide ribosomal RNA is filed under the name uncultured fungus. RNAcentral describes it as "SSU rRNA". It matches the Rfam family "Eukaryotic small subunit ribosomal RNA", at positions 612 to 1484 of the family's 1831-position model. Lineage: Eukaryota; Fungi. The record is from RNAcentral.
GUUGCAGUUAAAAAGCUCGUAGUUGAACCUUGGGCCUGGCGGGCCGGUCCGCCUCACCGCGUGCACUGGAUACGCCGGGCCUUUCCUUCUGCGGAACGGCAUGCCCUUUAGUGGGCGUGUUUUGGGAAGCAGGACUUUUACUUUGAAAAAAUUAGAGUGUUCAAAGCAGGCCUUUGCUCGAAUACAUUAGCAUGGAAUAAUGGAAUAGGACGGCGCUCCUAUUUUGUUGGUUUCUAGGAGAGCCGUAAUGAUUAAUAGGGACAGUUGGGGGCAUCCGUAUUCAGUUGUCAGAGGUGAAAUUCUUGGAUUUACUGAAGACGAACUACUGCGAAAGCAUUUGCCAAAGAUGUUUUCAUUAAUCAGUGAACGAAAGUUAGGGGAUCGAAGACGAUCAGAUACCGUCGUAGUCUUAACCAUAAACUAUGCCGACUAGGGAUCGGACGAUGUUACUAUAUUGACUCGUUCGGCACCUUUCGAGAAAUCAAAGUGUUUGGGUUCUGGGGGGAGUAUGGUCGCAAGGCUGAAACUUAAAGAAAUUGACGGAAGGGCACCACCAGGAGUGGAGCCUGCGGCUUAAUUUGACUCAACACGGGGAAACUCACCAGGUCCAGAUACACGUAGGAUUGACAGAUUGAGAGCUCUUUCUUGAUUGUGUAGUUGGUGGUGCAUGGCCGUUCUUAGUUGGUGGAGUGAUUUGUCUGCUUAAUUGCGAUAACGAACGAGACCUUCAUCGUUAACUAGCCCGGCUCGCCUUGGCGGGUCGCCGGCUUCUUAGCGAGACUUUUGGCUAAGCCAAAGGAAGUUGGAGGCAAUAACAGGUCUGUGAUGCCCUUAGAUGUUCUG